AGUGCUGUGUGGGGUUAAAUCCAGUUACUUUGAUGUGGUAAAGUUUGAAAAAUUUUUUUCUAGUGCUU
Molecule: transfer RNA, 68 nt
Filed under: Lithophaga curta
Lineage: Eukaryota; Metazoa; Mollusca; Bivalvia; Mytilida; Mytilidae
Description: tRNA-Ile
Source: RNAcentral